RNAcentral lists this ribosomal RNA (693 nucleotides) under uncultured Candidatus Poseidoniales archaeon. Its description in RNAcentral is "bacterial SSU rRNA". It matches the Rfam family "Archaeal small subunit ribosomal RNA", at positions 1 to 700 of the family's 1478-position model. The record is from RNAcentral. Lineage: Archaea; Methanobacteriati; Thermoplasmatota; Candidatus Poseidoniia; Candidatus Poseidoniales.
UUCCGGUUGAUCCUGCCGGAGGCUACCGCUAUUGGAGUUCGAUUAAGCCAUGCGAGUCGAGAGUCUUAGGGACUCGGCGUACCGCUCAGUAACACGUGGGUAACCUGCCCUAUGCUGGGGAAUAACCUCGGGAAACUGAGAAUAAUACCCCAUAGUUCACCACGCCUGGAACGGUGGGUGGAUGAAAGCUCCGGCGGCAUAGGAUGGGCCUGCGACGUAUCAGGUUGUAGGGGGUGUAACGUACCCUCUAGCCAUCAACGCGUACGGGUGUUGGGAGACAUAGCCCGGAGAUGGAUUCUGAGACACGAAUCCAGACCCUACGGGGUGCAGCAGGCGCGAAAACUUGGCAAUGCGAGCAAUCGUGACCAGGGAACUCCAAGUGGCUGGGGUAAUACCCAGUUUUUUCUUGACUCUUCAAAGGUCUUGGAAUAAGGGGUGGGUAAGGACGGUGCCAGCCGCCGCGGUAAUACCGGCGCCUCAAGUGGUAGUCGCUUUUAUUGGGCCUAAAACGUCCGUAGCCGGUCUGGUGCAUUCGUGGGUAAAUCAACCCGCUCAACGGGUUGAAUUCUGCGAGCACGGCCAGACUUGGGACCGGGAGAGGUGUGGGGUACUCUCAGGGUAGGGGUAAAAUCCUGUCAUCCUGAGAGGACCACCUGUUGCGAAGGCGCCACACUAGAACGGAUUCGACGGUCA